This 58-nucleotide transfer RNA is filed under the name Janthinobacterium lividum. RNAcentral's name for it is "tRNA-Asp". It matches the Rfam family "tRNA", at positions 8 to 62 of the family's 71-position model. From Rfam's summary of the family: Transfer RNA (tRNA) molecules are approximately 80 nucleotides in length. Their secondary structure includes four short double-helical elements and three loops (D, anti-codon, and T loops). The record is from RNAcentral. Lineage: Bacteria; Pseudomonadati; Pseudomonadota; Betaproteobacteria; Burkholderiales; Oxalobacteraceae.
UAGUUCAGUUGGUUAGAAUACCGGCCUGUCACGUCGGGGGUCGCGGGUUCGAGUCCCG